This is a non-coding RNA of Erinaceus europaeus (western European hedgehog), 283 nucleotides long. The record is from Rfam. Lineage: Eukaryota; Metazoa; Chordata; Mammalia; Eulipotyphla; Erinaceidae.
UGUGGAUCUGGCUGGCGAGGCAGGUGUCCCCUCCUGCCCUUGCUGCUCUUUUGUGUUCCUCUCAUAGCACUGUAUGCAUUCAAAAAGGAUGACGUUCCCCUAAUAGAGACGAUGGUCUUCUGUCAAGGGUAAAUGAGAAGCUGCUUCCCUGCUAGAGGCUCAGAACAAACUCAAGAUCAAAAGCCCUACAGCAGCUCCAGAGCCCCCUCCUCCAAGUGGGGAAGUCCAGCAGAAAGGCUUUUCCCCAGUCCUUGCAGCCCACUGAUUUUCAGUGGGACACCUC